GAUGAACGCUAGCGGCAGGCUUAAUACAUGCAAGUCGAGGGGCAGCACGGUUAGCAAUAACUGGUGGCGACCGGCGCACGGGUGCGUAACACGUAUACAAUCUACCUUAAACAGGGGAUAGCCUUUCGAAAGAGAGAUUAAUACCCCGUAAUAAAUUGAACGGCAUCGUUUGAUUUUGAAAGCUCCGGCGGUUUGAGAUGAGUAUGCGUCUGAUUAGCUAGUUGGUGAGGUAACGGCUCACCAAGGCGACGAUCAGUAGGGGAUCUGAGAGGACUAACCCCCACACUGGUACUGAGACACGGACCAGACUCCUACGGGAGGCAGCAGUAAGGAAUAUUGGUCAAUGGAGGCAACUCUGAACCAGCCAUGCCGCGUGCAGGAUGACGGCCCUAUGGGUUGUAAACUGCUUUUAUACAAGAGAAAACCCUGGUACGUGUACCAGGUUGAUAGUAUUGUAAGAAUAAGCAUCGGCUAACUUCGUGCCAGCAGCCG
Molecule: ribosomal RNA, 492 nt
Filed under: uncultured bacterium
Lineage: Bacteria
Description: bacterial SSU rRNA
Rfam family: Bacterial small subunit ribosomal RNA
Source: RNAcentral